RNAcentral lists this ribosomal RNA (397 nucleotides) under uncultured bacterium. Its description in RNAcentral is "bacterial SSU rRNA". It matches the Rfam family "Bacterial small subunit ribosomal RNA", at positions 29 to 416 of the family's 1533-position model. The record is from RNAcentral.
AACGAACGCUGGCGGCAUGCCUAACACAUGCAAGUCGUGCGAGAACUAGGAAGCUUGCUUUCUGGUGAAAGCGGCGCACGGGUGAGUAACGCGUAGGUAACGUACCCAUAGGUUGAGGAUAACCUGCUGAAAAGCGGGCUAAUACUCGAUAAGCUCAUUUUUGGUUCGCUUUAAAUGAGGAAAGCGGGGCAACUCGCGCCAAUGGAACGGCCUGCGUCCCAUCAGCUAGUUGGUAUGGUAACGGCUUACCAAGGCUACGACGGGUAACUGGUCUGAGAGGACGACCAGUCACACUGGGACUGAGACACGGCCCAGACUCCUACGGGAGGCAGCAGUGGGGAAUAUUGGUCAAUGGGCGAAAGCCUGAACCAGCAAUGCCGCGUGGGUGAUGAAGGCC